Molecule: ribosomal RNA, 499 nt
Filed under: uncultured bacterium
Lineage: Bacteria
Description: partial 16S ribosomal RNA
Rfam family: Bacterial small subunit ribosomal RNA
Source: RNAcentral
GACGAACGCUGGCGGCGUGCCUAAUACAUGCCAGUCGAGCGGACUUUCAAGAAGCUUGCUUUUUGAAAGUUAGCGGCGGACGGGUGAGUAACACGUGGGCAACCUGCCUGCAAGACGGGGAUAACUCCGGGAAACCGGGGCUAAUACCGGAUAAUAUCUUCCUUCGCAUGAAGGAAGGUUGAAAGUCGGCGCAAGCUGCCGCUUGCAGAUGGUCCCGCGGCGCAUUAGCUAGUUGGUGUGGUAACGGCUCACCAAGGCGACGAUGCGUAGCCGACCGGAGGGGGUGAUCGGCCACACUGGGACGGAGACACGGCCCAGACGGCUACGGGAGGCAGCAGUAGGGAAUCUUCCGCAAUGGGCGAAAGUCUGACGGAGCAACGCCGCGUGAGCGAAGAAGGUCUUCGGAUCGUAAAGCUCUGUUGUCAGGGAAGAACAAGUACCGUUCGAACAGGGCGGUACCUUGACGGUACCUGACCAGAAAGCCACGGCUAACUACGUG